UGGGGAAUUUUGCACAAUGGGGGAAACCCUGAUGCAGCGACGCCGCGUGAUUUAGAAGGCCUUCGGGUUGUAAAAAUCUUUUGUAUGGGAAGAAAAUGACAGUACCAUACGAAUAAGGACCGGCUAAUUACGUGCCAGCAGCCGCGGUAAUACGUAAGGUCCGAGCGUUGUCCGGAAUCAUUGGGCGUAAAGGGUACGUAGGCGGAUAAGCAAGUUAGAAGUGAAAUCCUAUAGCUCAACUAUAGUAAGCUUUUAAAACUGCUCAUCUUGAGGUAUGGAAGGGAAAGUGGAAUUCCUAGUGUAGCGGUGAAAUGCGCAGAUAUUAGGAGGAAUACCGAUGGCGAAGGCGACUUUCUGGCCAUAUACUGACGCUGAGGUACGAAAGCGUGGGUAGCAAACAGG
This 402-nucleotide ribosomal RNA is filed under the name Verrucomicrobiota bacterium. RNAcentral describes it as "Verrucomicrobia bacterium partial 16S ribosomal RNA". It matches the Rfam family "Bacterial small subunit ribosomal RNA", at positions 355 to 776 of the family's 1533-position model. The record is from RNAcentral. Lineage: Bacteria; Pseudomonadati; Verrucomicrobiota.